CCUACGGGUGGCAGCAGUGGGGAAUAUUGGACAAUGGGCGAAAGCCUGAUCCAGCCAUGCCGCGUGUGUGAAGAAGGCCUUCGGGUUGUAAAGCACUUUCAGUGGGGAAGAAAGCCUUGGGGCUAAUACCCUCGAGGAAGGACAUCACCCACAGAAGAAGCACCGGCUAACUCCGUGCCAGCAGCCGCGGUAAUACGGAGGGUGCGAGCGUUAAUCGGAAUUACUGGGCGUAAAGCGCGCGUAGGCGGUCUGAUAAGCCGGUUGUGAAAGCCCCGGGCUCAACCUGGGAACGGCAUCCGGAACUGUCAGGCUAGAGUGCAGUAGAGGAAGGUAGAAUUCCCGGUGUAGCGGUGAAAUGCGUAGAGAUCGGGAGGAAUACCAGUGGCGAAGGCGGCCUUCUGGACUGACACUGACGCUGAGGUGCGAAAGCGUGGGUAGCAAACAGGAUUAGAUACCCGAGUAGUC
This 465-nucleotide ribosomal RNA is filed under the name Vreelandella stevensii. Its description in RNAcentral is "partial 16S ribosomal RNA". It matches the Rfam family "Bacterial small subunit ribosomal RNA", at positions 338 to 795 of the family's 1533-position model. The record is from RNAcentral. Lineage: Bacteria; Pseudomonadati; Pseudomonadota; Gammaproteobacteria; Oceanospirillales; Halomonadaceae.